Molecule: ribosomal RNA, 782 nt
Filed under: uncultured Flexibacteraceae bacterium
Lineage: Bacteria; Pseudomonadati; Bacteroidota; Cytophagia; Cytophagales; Cytophagaceae
Description: bacterial SSU rRNA
Rfam family: Bacterial small subunit ribosomal RNA
Source: RNAcentral
ACGCUAGCGGCGGGCUUAAUACAUGCAAGUCGAGGGGGUGUAGCAAUACAUCACCGGCGCACGGGCGCGUAACACGUAUGCAACCUACCCCUUAUUAAAGGAUAUACUCGGGAAACUGGGGGCAAUACUUUAUAUGCACACAUCUAGGCAUCUAGGAGUGUGGAAACGUAAGGAUAGGGGAUGGGCAUGCGUCUGAUUAGCUAGUUGGUGAGGUAACGGCUCACCAAGGCGACGAUCAGUAGCUGGUCUGAGAGGAUGAUCAGCCACACUGGCACUGAGACACGGGCCAGACUCCUACGGGAGGCAGCAGUAAGGAAUAUUGGUCAAUGGUCGCAAGACUGAACCAGCCACGCCGCGUGGAGGAAGACGGCCCUCUGGGUUGUAAACUCCUUUUGCCGAGGGAUAAAAAGGGGCUAUACGCCCACUUGAAGGUACUCGGUGAAUAAGCCACGGCUAACUACGUGCCAGCAGCCGCGGUAAUACGUAGGUGGCAAGCGUUGUCCGGAUUUAUUGGGUUUAAAGGGUGCGUAGGCGGUUAAUUAAGUCAGUCGUUAAAGGCAGCAGCUUAACUGUUGUAAGGCGAUUGAUACUGAUUGACUUGAAUUCUUUAGAGGUAGCUGGAAUACGUAGUGUAGAGGUGAAAUUCAUAGAUAUUACGUAGAACACCGAUUGCGGAGGCAUGUUACUAUAAAGAGAUUGACGCUGAGGCACGAAAGCGUGGGGAGCAAACAGGAUUAGAUACCCUGGUAGUCCACGCUGUAAACGAUGAUAACUAGAUGUUC